RNAcentral lists this transfer RNA (87 nucleotides) under Acidobacteriota bacterium. RNAcentral describes it as "Acidobacteria bacterium tRNA-Leu". It matches the Rfam family "tRNA". Rfam says of the family: Transfer RNA (tRNA) molecules are approximately 80 nucleotides in length. The record is from RNAcentral. RNAcentral also lists the same sequence under 2 other names. Lineage: Bacteria; Pseudomonadati; Acidobacteriota.
GCGGCUGUGGCGGAACUGGCAGACGCACCAGCUUGAGGGGCUGGCGCUAGCAAUAGCGUGGUGGUUCGAAUCCACUCAGCCGCACCA